Molecule: unclassified non-coding RNA, 494 nt
Filed under: Hevea brasiliensis (rubber tree)
Lineage: Eukaryota; Viridiplantae; Streptophyta; Magnoliopsida; Malpighiales; Euphorbiaceae
Source: RNAcentral
GUUUAUUGUAAUCGGUCCCAUAUACCAAAUCUCUCUUCUUUUUCUCUCGAUUCGGAUCCACGUCCGCCCACCCAAUACCCAAUCAGGUUAUUCACGAUUCUUUGCAGUUAGGUUUACUGGAUUUGGAUGGGUACGGAGAGGAAGAGAAAAGUGAGCUUGUUUGAUGUGGUGGACGAGACUUCGAUCUCGGCGAAGAAAUCGAAAACAAACGGCGGUGGUGGAGCGGCGAUAAACAACAACGGAAACAACGACAAUUUGAUUAAUCGUUGGACUGGGAAGCCAUAUUCACAGAGGUACUAUGAAAUAUUGGAAAAGAGGACAAGUCUGCCCGUUUGGCAACAAAAAGAGGAGUUCUUGACGGCUUUGAAGAAAAAUCAGGUCCUUGUUCUUGUUGGUGAGACUGGUAGUGGAAAAACUACUCAGAUUCCUCAGUUUGUUUUGGAAUCCAUCGACAUAGAAACCCCUGAUAAACGUAGGAAGAUGAUGAUUGGAUG